Molecule: long non-coding RNA, 4866 nt
Organism: Rattus norvegicus (Norway rat)
Lineage: Eukaryota; Metazoa; Chordata; Mammalia; Rodentia; Muridae
Source: RefSeq, a predicted model, not a curated record
GCCACACAGAUAAUGAACAUCAUUUGGAACUUAUGCCCAAACCAUCUGACCUUAGAAGCCAUCCUUUUGGCUCCAGACUAGCUCAUGCCUCACCUUUGGUCUGGGGUGGACUUUGGCAGCUUCUGAUUGCCCUGCACUGACGCCACAUGUACUUUUUUUAAUGAAAACAAUGCUUGGCGAAGAACGACCCUGAAGAGUAAAUGUGAAGUCAGAGCUCUGAAAUUGUUUCCCAUCAUAUUUCCUGAAAGCAAUUGUUCAUGAAGAUAAGGUGGUACUUCCAGUAAAACUGUGACAGUCCCAGAGGUGCUGACUCACUCUGAGCGCAGUGUCAUUCCUGGAACUGUCCUAUAUAAAGUGGCCUGUCAGCUACAGCAGAGACAGCAGGCCUCUCUGGUCAUGGCGCCUCUCCCUAGCUUUCCUUCAAGAGCCAUGUGCACAAGACACCUUCUGGCUACCUGGGGCUUCCACAGUUGUUAGAGAAGUCAACGUUCUACCAUCCAGAUCUACUACACACUGAUACAGCAAUGGGCAUUUGUUUUCCUCUAAACAAAAAGGAGGUAAGAAGAAAAAGGAUUCCGAAAGACAGACGACUGUGUGGAGAGUGUGUCUUAUCUGCAUAAGCCUUUGGAGGACAAAAGAAGACAAGGGAGCACCUAGACCUGAGUUACUAGCAUUUGUGAGCCAUCGUGUGGAUUCUAGGAACCAAGCCCAGGUCCUCUGCAGGAACAGACAAAGACUCUUCGUGGAGCCCAGAAUUCAUUUCGAGUAUCCAAAGUGUCAACGUUCUGUUUUCUCACCCGUAGUUACAUACAGUCAGUCUCAGAAAGUGUUGAGUUUGGAGUAAAAAAUAACAAACAAAUAUUGUAGUCUAGCUUCCUUGGAUGCUUCCAAACCACCUCCAAAUGACAAAGUGAAACUAGUUGAAAGCACUUGCAAGCUUUGAGUUCUACUCAAAUGCUUAAUGAAAAGAUCUCCAGAGAAGAAGCAGAUCCUUCCUUCUCCGGGAUGCCAGUUGCCUUCAACCUCGUUAAUAUUCUUAAUUAUUCAAGAGGGGGCUGAGGUUGCCAUGUCUAUGAGGUUGUCAUAGAUCAAUUAAAUCCUGAGACUUUCUGAGGUGACAUUCAGAUCGGUGACAAGGUGAAAGGAAAUCAAUUUUCACUUUUCAGCCUGCGGGUGCCCACGGAUUUCCUGGGGUGAGUGGCGAACUCUCAUUUCAGACACAAAGGCAAAGAUGGCCUUGUCUUCUGGGGCCAGAGGCUGAUUGCUGAGGUGAUGCCUGGAAGAAUGGGAACCCCAGGGGUCUUGCCUCGCCAUUAGGGGCUCUGAUACAAAAAAAGACCUCUUUAUUCUGGAGUCAGAAAAAAGCCGAGGAUGGAAUUCCUAUUUCACCAAUCCUUGAAGUGAAAUUACCCCGCACAUUUGGACUUCAAGCAGGGAUAAGAGCAGCAGCCAUCAUUAUUCAGCCAAUACAUGAUGGGAAGAAAUGCUUUCUGAGGAAGAAUGCCACCUCACGGGGAGGAAAAAUGAGUCAAGGUGGAGCAGAGUGAGCCCGCCAUUUAAUCGGCGAUCACCCUGACCUGUCGGACUUCGUCCGGCUAGGCUAGUUCCUGUAUGUUUGGGUCAAAGAAGAAGAUAAUUAAACAAAGACUGGAGCAUUGAGAGGCCUGAUAUUUCCAGGGGUUGCACUGUGAGCAAGCUGGAUAGAUGUGCGAUGCUUUUAAUGCAUUCCGUUUCCUAAUUAGCAAUCAGGGCCCAUUUGUCAGUCAUUCCAGCCAUGACGCAUACAACCCUGGAACAUAGGGCGGAGCAAGGCAAGUUGAGAAAAUCAAUUAUGCCUAUGUUUACAUUCCCUUAAGGCUGGGGUGUUGCAAAACUGCCUAAAUAUUGCAUUCUCCUUACAAAGGAGCAGGAAGGAAGGGUGAGACUGCAAUUCAGUAUAAUGAAUAAAUCUCUUGCUGUUUGGAGAAAGGUACAAUGGCUGAAUAUUUAUGAGACUGCUGAUGGGUAAUGCAUUUUAUGUGAUCUGCAACUGUGAAAAUGGAAUUCCAUUUUUAGACCUCGCAGGAACAAGUACAUGUUCAAGAAAUGAAGACUGUGCUUGUGCCUACAGAAGUUCCGUGCAAACGGUCCAGGAUUUAGCCUCAUGUUCGAAACUGGAUGGAAGAAUGGGGAGUUAAUGUCCGGCUCAGAUAAUCACUGCUUGCAAAGUCGCCUCAGACUCAGAGACGAGAAAUGAGAACAGGGCCUGGAACUGAGCAGACACAUGCAUUUGUCUUUCUUCCUCACAACACAACCGACUGCUGCAAGUUCCUGCUACCUUUGACUUCCCAUCAUGAUGAACUGUUCUCGGAUCCCAGGUCCAGCAAACAAGAGCUGCAUAGAUCAGCGAAGUUGACACAUCACAAGACAGUUUAUUCUUCUGCACACAUCUCUACAACAGUGCUUCCCUUGUCCUUCCACUCUCUUAAUGGAGUCCUGAGCACACCCAAGGGUAAAUGAAUUGAGUGUUAACCUUGGUCACUGGCUGAGCAGUACCUGCAAGGGAUCUCCCACAUCAGUAAUGGCUGUGUUGACAUUUGCCCACACACAGUUGUCCUAUGACUUCAGCCUUCCUGAAUUAGUGGUUCUUACAGCUGCACUUACCUAGAACUUGGCGCUCCCUCGCAUGGAUUGGAAGCUAUCCAGUUACUGUCCUCCACCACCGGAAGUUAGCUUGCUCCUGAUACCUUACCAUUACAAAUAAUGCUGGGACAUGUAACUUCACCCUAUCAUUGUGCUUGAAGAAAGUCUUCAGAGUAGAUUCUUAAAAAUGACCUGCAGCUAUUCCCUGGGAGAAAGGAAAAUGGGGAAGCAUGCAUUCUAUCAGCUCUCUGAGUCCCAGGAGGAACUACUCAGACGGUGAGAGAAAAAAUAAUUUCCUUGUCUGUAAAAUGAGUCCUCUGGCUUAGCCCGUGCCUUUUGCCCUCGGAGCUCGGUAAGGAUGAAAUAUUUGUGAGUUUCUUUACUCCUCAGGAGAAAGUUAACUGCAUGUAGCUACUCCAGCAAACUAUCAGAGGAUCUGCUGCUAUGACCCGGGUGAGAAUCGUAAUGAAAGCUAAAAUGUGCUGUGUGGGAGCCUACCACUACGUUGUGCCUCCAGAUACUUAUUUCUGGUGGAUCAUUGUUAGAAUCCCAAUCAGCAAGGCUGCCACAGCUUGUCCUGUUGUUGAGAAUGUUGACAUGCUCAGUAUACAUACAAGAAGACAGAAAUAACUGACACUUGGGAUACUAUCUUUUCAGACAAGUUUUAUUGAAUCCUGCUAGACAUCAUAAGAAGAAAGCAUGGGGUGAGAGGGGCACAUACCUUUGAUCCCAGCACUGGGGAGGCAGAAGCAGGCAGAUCUCUAAAUUUGAGGCCAACCUGAUCUGCAGAGCGAGUUCCAGGACAGCCAGGGCUACACAGAGAAACCUUAUCUUGAAAAGAAGAUUUAAAAUAAGAUAAAAAAUAAUAAGGAAACUAUAGAAGUGUACCAACGACAUGACAGCUAGUAGAACACCAGUACACAGGUAUGCAUACAUGUGUGCAUGUCAAGUCCAGAGGGUAGCCUCAAGUAUUGUUUCUUGAGUGCCAUUUACCUGGUUUGUUUAUUUUGAAAAUGGCCUCUUACUGGUCUGAAACUCACCAAGUAGGCUAGGCUGGCCAGCAGGCCAGUGAGCCCCAGAAAUCUGCCUGUCUCUGCCUCCCCAAAGCAGGAAUUAUAUGUGCUUACUACUCCACUACCUUUUUUUUUUUUUAAUGCAAGCUCUGGGGCUGGAUCUCAGGUCUUCCUUACAGGCCAGCAUGUUACCACUGAACUAUUGCCUCGGCUCAAAUGUUUUGAAUUUUAAAGCCAUGUUCUUUUCAACACAUAGAAUGGCCACCAGCAGACAUGUGUUUCAUCUUCCCUCCGGUGAAUGUCAGCAUUCCAAUCUAGGAAUCUUGAAAGUGGGCGUGACUCGCCAUUUGUAGCCCAUGCACUUGUUUGCAGAUGCACUGUUUUGAGACAAUGCUACGCUGGUGCUCUUACUUCAUGGGAAAGGAGAGAGAAUUCUGCUAACCAGGAACCGCAGUUCUGGGGCAACUGAAGAUAAGCCAGUGAGGCAAAUGGCCUUGAGCCUAGGGAAGAAGGUAUUGAGGCUGUUUCUAAAAUACUCAUCGGGUUAAAAUUCCUAUCUUAUUGAAUGCCAUAAGCUUUCACGUUUGCCUCGUAAAGGAUGCAACACACUUAUAUCAGCACCAGUAGAUUUUAUCACUACAGCAAUAGUGACCGAGCAGAAGACAUGUGCAGUCCAGGCAAGUACUGUAGCACUGAGAUACAUCCCCACCCUGUCACAGGGUGGAUUCCUUCCCUAUACCAAUUCCCAGCUAAUCUCAAUGUCAGGAUUUGAGAUAGGGAGGCCUCUGCCAAGGUUAGGAGGCUGUUCUGGGUUAGACGAGCUGGCUGGGGGAGGGGGGGUAAGCGGUAACGGAAGGCUAUAUUCCCGUUAUUAAAUAAAGCCAAACCUCAUUGGUCCUUCACUAGAGCAAACGUCAUGAAAAUUAUAAACCAUGCAUAAACAAGAUUCACUUCCGCCCUCCUGGCAAAGGAUGACGUAAGAGUGUACACGUCAUUAUUGCAGACUGUAAAUAUGCAGGAUUCUCCCCUCCAGACACUAUCUUGAGAGCCACAGGCAGUGACCCUGUUUGGUCGUGAUUAGGUAAACCAAGGUAGAGAUAACAUGACCCACUCUCUAACCAUGUUAAACAUUUCUAUGUAUUAGUCCCUGUGGGCUGCUGUGACAAAGUAACUCACUAGAAGAAUUUAUAAAGGAGAGAAGUUGCACACUACAGUAGCACACACCUACAAU